Molecule: long non-coding RNA, 215 nt
Filed under: Elaeis guineensis (African oil palm)
Lineage: Eukaryota; Viridiplantae; Streptophyta; Magnoliopsida; Arecales; Arecaceae
Description: long non-coding RNA (EGUI_LNC062201)
Source: RNAcentral
AUGAGUAAAAGAAGAAGAUCUGUAAAGGAGAUCCUAACUCUAAGGUCUUAGCUAUGAAUGAAAGGUAAGAAAGAUCAAAAGAGAUGAGUAGGAGUAAAUCCAAGAAUAGAUCGAAGUCUCAGAAUCAAAGGAAGAUCAUGAAAUGUUAUAAGUGUAGUCAGCUUGGGCAUAUAACGAAGUACUAUCCUCUUUUGAAAUUAGAAAAGGGAAAGGCC